This 1016-nucleotide ribosomal RNA is filed under the name Rhizophagus irregularis. RNAcentral's name for it is "eukaryotic LSU rRNA". The stretch from base 586 to 1016 matches the Rfam family "Eukaryotic large subunit ribosomal RNA", at positions 1 to 428 of the family's 3401-position model. The record is from RNAcentral. Lineage: Eukaryota; Fungi; Glomeromycota; Glomeromycetes; Glomerales; Glomeraceae.
AUUACGUCCCUGCCCUUUGUACACACCGCCCGUCGCUACUACCGAUUGAAUGGCUUAGUGAGGCCUUCGGAUUGAGAUUCGGAGACUGGCAACAGACUCCUGGUUUUGAAAAGUUGGACAAACUUGGUCAUUUAGAGGAAGUAAAAGUCGUAACAAGGUUUCCGUAGGUGAACCUGCGGAAGGAUCAUUACCGAUUUUAGCGGACCUGAUCUCUGAUCAUGGUCUCGCGAAAACUUGUAUUUAAAACCCCACUCUUAUAAAUUGAAUCAUUUUUACAUUGUAUAUAAUAAAUAAAGAUCACUUUCAACAACGGAUCUCUUGGCUCUCGCAUCGAUGAAAAACGUAGCGAAGUGCGAUAAGUAAUGGGAAUUGCAGAAUUCCGUGAAUCAUCGAAUCUUUGAACGCAAAUUGCACUCUCUGGCAACCCGGAGAGUAUGCCUGUUUGAGGGUCAGUGUUAAUAAUAAUCGGGGCGUUGCAAGUUUUUUUGUGAUGUUUCCGGANUUUUUUUUUCGUCCUUCUUAAUGCCAAAAUCUAAUAGAUGCGACCAUAUCAUGUGGUUUCGUGUCCAUAAAUUUUUCAUGAUUUGACCUCAAAUCAGGUAGGAACCCCCGCUGAACUUAAGCAUAUCAAUAAGCGGAGGAAAAGAAAAUAACAAUGAUUCCCCUAGUAACUGGGAGUGAAGAGGGACAAGCUCAAAUUUUAAAUUUAUCGGGUUUUACCCGAUCGAGUUGUAAUUUGAAGAGGCGUUUUUUGCGUUUUUGGUCAGCCCAAGUCCUAUUGAAUGAGGCAUCAUGGAGGGUGAUAAUCCCGUCCGGUUGAUCAUUUGCGUUUUACGAUACGCUUUCUAAGAGUCAAGUUGUUUGGGAUUGCAGCUUAAAAUGGGAGGUAAAUUUCUCCUAAGGCUAAAUAACGGCGAGAGACCGAUAGCGAACAAGUACCGUGAGGGAAAGAUGAAAAGAACUUUGAAAAGAGAGUUAAACAGUACGUGAAAUUGUUGAAAGGGAAACGAUUGAAG